GAACUGCGAUAAGUAAUGUGAAUUGCAGAAUUCAGUGAAUCAUCGAAUCUUUGAAUGCACCUUGCGCUCCUUGGUAUUCCUUGGAGCAUGCCUGUUUGAGUAUCAUGAAAUCUUCAAAGUAAAUCUUUUGUUAACUCAAUUGGUUUCUACUUUGGUAUUGGAGGUCUUUGCAGCUUCACACCUGCUCCUCUUUGUUCAUUAGCUGGAUCUCAGUGUUAUGCUUGGUUCCACUCGGCGUGAUAAGUUAUCUAUCGCUGAGGACACUGUAAAAGGUGGCCAAGGUAAAUGCAGAUGAACCGCUUCUAAUAGUCCAUUGACUUGGACAAUACUUUUAUGAUCUGAUCUCAAAUCAGGUAGGACUACCCGCUGAACUUAAGC
This 378-nucleotide unclassified non-coding RNA is filed under the name plant metagenome. RNAcentral's name for it is "partial contains 5.8S ribosomal RNA, internal transcribed spacer 2, and large subunit ribosomal RNA". The stretch from base 1 to 105 matches the Rfam family "5.8S ribosomal RNA", at positions 50 to 154 of the family's 154-position model. The record is from RNAcentral.